RNAcentral lists this non-coding RNA (46 nucleotides) under Schistosoma mattheei. Lineage: Eukaryota; Metazoa; Platyhelminthes; Trematoda; Strigeidida; Schistosomatidae. The record is from RNAcentral.
AUCCAGAUAACGAGUCCCAAAAUAAGACUAAAUGCUCAUCCUGGAU